RNAcentral lists this long non-coding RNA (743 nucleotides) under Homo sapiens (human). RNAcentral describes it as "non-protein coding lnc-NKAIN1-1:1". The record is from RNAcentral. Lineage: Eukaryota; Metazoa; Chordata; Mammalia; Primates; Hominidae.
CCCCAUUGCUCAAGAGGUGAGUCCAUGUCUUAUUCAAACUCUGUGUUCCUAGUUUCUAAAAGCCAGAACAUGGUUCAGUAAAUGUAAGGUAAGUAAAUAAUUGUUGCUUCCAUUUCCUUUAAAAAGCCAUGCCUCUGUCCUACCCCCAGCUCUAAGAGGACUUACCCUUGCUUUUCAUGAUACCUUACAGGUUUGUUUAUGUGUGGGAUACCACAAGCAGGAGAAUAUUGUAUAAGCUGCCCGGCCAUGCUGGCUCCAUCAAUGAAGUGGCUUUCCACCCUGAUGAGCCCAUCAUUAUCUCAGCAUCGAGUGACAAGAGACUGUAUAUGGGAGAGAUUCAGUGAAGAUAUGGACUGGAAGACUCCAAGGCCGCUUGUCUUUGAGACCUCAGACUGCAUAAGUGAUGCCAAAUGUUGGAUGUCCAGGCUAGCACCCUCCCUUCAGAUGACCAUUGCUAGCAAGAAACAGGAGGCGGUGGCCAUAUUCCAAAAACCACUUCUGUCCCAUUUCACCAGGAUGACUAAGGCAAGCUCCCUGUGGCCUCUAAAAACCACCUGCCAGAUUUCAGGGACUGUUUUUUUUUUUCUUUUUCUUUUUUCCUGUUUUCUAAUGCAGGCCCAAUGUGACAAAUUUGUUGGUUGGGAUUUUUUUUUUUUUUUUGUAACUGGCUUGUAUGAUAUUUUCUUUCUGUAUUUCUCUAUAUCAUUUUGUAUUAAAAGCCAAAUAGAUGCCUUUUUACAAGA